GAAACGGAGCGGCACCUCUUUUAACCCUUUGAAGUCACUGCCCGUUUCGAGAGUUUCUCAACUCGAAUAAACUAAAAGCCAACGUGAACUUUUGCGGAUCUCCAGGAUCCGCU
This 113-nucleotide non-coding RNA is filed under the name Escherichia coli O157:H7 str. EC4206. Its description in RNAcentral is "OxyS RNA". It matches the Rfam family "OxyS RNA". From Rfam's summary of the family: OxyS is a small untranslated RNA which is induced in response to oxidative stress in Escherichia coli. This novel RNA acts as a global regulator to activate or repress the expression of as many as 40 genes, including the fhlA-encoded transcriptional activator and the rpoS-encoded sigma(s) subunit of RNA polymerase. The record is from RNAcentral. Lineage: Bacteria; Pseudomonadati; Pseudomonadota; Gammaproteobacteria; Enterobacterales; Enterobacteriaceae.